UACGGGGGGAGCAAGCGUUGUUCGGAUUUACUGGGCGUAAAGGGCGCGUAGGCGGUCAGCACAAGUCAGUUGUGAAAUCUCCGGGCUUAACUCGGAAAGGUCAACUGAUACUGUGCGACUAGAGUGCGGAAGGGGCAACUGGAAUUCUCGGUGUAGCGGUGAAAUGCGUAGAUAUCGAGAGGAACACCAGUGGCGAAGGCGAGUUCCUGGACAAGUCC
Molecule: ribosomal RNA, 218 nt
Filed under: uncultured prokaryote
Description: partial 16S ribosomal RNA
Rfam family: Bacterial small subunit ribosomal RNA
Source: RNAcentral